GCAACAAGCCUCUAUCCAGAGCUCAGAAACUGAAAAAAAUAUAUUACAUUUUUCUUAUACAGGCAUACCUUGGAUAUAUUGGAAGGGAGAGGCUAAAAAUCUCUCAUGAAAGCACCAGUAUCUGAGUGCUGACCACGGUAGGCUUCUGCGCUUACAGAGGAGCUGCAUCACAGAUGAGAGAAAUACAACCAAGACUUCAACUACAAUUGAGCAGAAAGCCUCCCAUAAACAUGAAGACAAUUCGUAACCAGAGUUUAAGUUUUAUAAAGGUGUCUAAAAAUAUCUUAUUUUGAAUCAUGCAAAAGUGAUCCAGUCUGGAAGCAUUGUAAAAAUAAUGCUUCCUUCCCAGGCUGGGUAGUUUGUAAAACCCUAGAGACUAGAAUUUCCUCAAGCCUAUUUUAUCCUCUUUAUUCUGGAGAAGAAAACAAAUCAAGAAAUCGAAACACUUGACCUUGGAAAGGAUCUCAUCCUUUGUUACAGACUGGCUGACUCUGAAUAUAUCAGGAAUGUACUUCCUAGACCCCAGGACUCAAAUAUAACCAGAGUGACAGAUAGGGCAGGUCUGAGAGAAGUAGCAAACGUACUUCAUCUUAGGGUCAGAAAGAAACAUGCUGGUAUAAUUCUAACUUAGAAAAUAACCAGGUAAGGGGUCUUGUAAACUUCAUACAAUGCUGCUGCCUCUGAGUUAUUAAAAAAAUUACUAACAGGCUUCUGAUCAACUAAAGGAAUAAAAUUAGGUGUUCAAAGGAGAAAAAAAAAAAAAAAAAAAAAAAAAAAAAAAAAAAAAAAAAAAAA
This 795-nucleotide long non-coding RNA is filed under the name Homo sapiens (human). RNAcentral's name for it is "long independently transcribed non-coding RNA 1957 (LINC01957)". Lineage: Eukaryota; Metazoa; Chordata; Mammalia; Primates; Hominidae. The record is from RNAcentral.